RNAcentral lists this transfer RNA (73 nucleotides) under Anaerolineae bacterium. RNAcentral describes it as "tRNA-Thr". It matches the Rfam family "tRNA". Rfam says of the family: Transfer RNA (tRNA) molecules are approximately 80 nucleotides in length. Their secondary structure includes four short double-helical elements and three loops (D, anti-codon, and T loops). Further hydrogen bonds mediate the characteristic L-shaped molecular structure. tRNAs have two regions of fundamental functional importance: the anti-codon, which is responsible for specific mRNA codon recognition, and the 3' end, to which the tRNAs corresponding amino acid is attached (by aminoacyl-tRNA synthetases). tRNAs cope with the degeneracy of the genetic code in two manners: having more than one tRNA (with a specific anti-codon) for a particular amino acid; and 'wobble' base-pairing, i.e. permitting non-standard base-pairing at the 3rd anti-codon position. The record is from RNAcentral. Lineage: Bacteria; Bacillati; Chloroflexota; Anaerolineae.
GCCACCGUAGCUCAGCCGGCAGAGCAACCGCCUCGUAAGCGGUGGGUCACGGGUUCAAAUCCCGUCGGUGGCU